This 468-nucleotide ribosomal RNA is filed under the name uncultured bacterium. RNAcentral's name for it is "partial 16S ribosomal RNA". It matches the Rfam family "Bacterial small subunit ribosomal RNA", at positions 28 to 507 of the family's 1533-position model. The record is from RNAcentral.
GACGAACGCUGGCGGCGUGCUUAACACAUGCAAGUCGAACGGAAAGGCCCUGCUUUUGUGGGGUGCUCGAGUGGCGAACGGGUGAGUAACACGUGAGUAACCUGCCCUUGACUUUGGGAUAACUUCAGGAAACUGGGGCUAAUACCGGAUAGGAUCUCCUGCUGCAUGGUGGGGGUUGGAAAGUUUCGGCGGUUGGGGAUGGACUCGCUGGUUAUCAGCUUGUUUGUGGGGUAGUUGCUUACCAAGGCUUUGACGGGUAGCCGGCCUGAGAGGGUGAACGGCCACAUUAGGACUGAGAUACGGCCCAGGAUCGUACGGGAGGCAGCAGUGGGGAAUAUUGCACAAAGGGCGGAAGCCUGAUGCAGAAACGCCGCGUGCGGGAUGACGGCCUACGGGUUGUAAACCGAUUUCGAAUGUGACGAAGCGUGAGUGACGGUAAUGGGUAAAGAAGCACCGGCUAACUACGUG